ACCGGACCCGCGACCUCUUAAAGGGGCAGAUGCGCAUUAGCCCCCCUGGGGGAAAACGGUGGGAGGGAUGGAUGCGGUUUAGUUCGCAGGGUUGCCAGAUUUGGUGCGUGCCAAACUGGUAGCCACACACACGCCCAUAAAUGAACGCACCAAACUAAAAGUGCUGUGAGGGAUUUGUUUCCAAUCUGGCAACGCUGGACAAGUAAAGCCUCUUACUGAUUGGAUCCCUGCUAUUUCCAGAAACCGCUGUCCAUCCAGAGUUUUACAGAACAUUUCUGAACAUAUUAAACAACAACUUCGGAGAAGUACGACUUCCUGAUCCACAUGCAUUCUUUGCAGAUACGCCCAGCUUCGUGCCUCGAACUGAUGAUGGUGACCUGGACGAUUCUAUGGCUGCAGCUUUUCCUGGCCCUCUUAUGAGCACUACGAUGCAGAAAGAGGACCUGAUUCAGUUCAUUCAGUGAAAAAGCACACGAGUGUCUCCAACAUGCUGAAAUACCUGACAACAAGGAGGCUUACUUAUUUUGGAAGAUGAUGGACUUGUUCUGCCAUCACAAUGGAAAAGUGAUAAUGGCUCAGGUCGCUACAACCCUCUUCAAGAGCUACGGCUUACUGAGGAAGAAGGCAUCAAAAGUCAUUAUCACAUCAGGAUCAGCAUCUGUCUGUACAUGACUGUGCAAACAUUCUGACUAACAUAAAAAUUUCUGCUGCAGCUGAGUGAAUACAAGACCCUGAGGGACUGGUGUCUUCCUCUGGCACAGCGCUUGUGCUCCUCUGCCCCAGAUGAUGGGCACAGAGAAGCCGUUAUUAAGAUGGGAGAUCUGUAUUGAUAAACACCACAGUAACCGCACAUUUCUGAAAAUGCUGUAAUCAUGUCUUUAACUGUUUUCUCAUAUGCAUGUUUGAUCUUUCGUCUUGCAGCCAGCAGGGAACUGACGUACACUGCUACGUCAUGGCAAAAAUGGACCUGGGGACAAGGAGCCAGUUUGACCUAAUCGGAUGCAACAGUCUGCCAUUUGGUCUGACGGUCCUGACAGCAGUCAUUGAGAGAACGGAGGUUUACGAAAGAAGGUUUACUGUCACUGACCUCAGGCCUGGCACAGCCAAACUUCCAGAUGGUCAAGUUGUGUCAUGCCAGCCGUUUAGUCCAGGCUGAAUUUCCUGAUGAAGCCCUUCAAUACUGUGAGGCCAUCACCAGGGCAGUCAUCACCUUCCCCAACAGCUUUAGAAGGAGCUUCAAUGAACGGCUCAUUUCGCUGUCUAUCAAAGCACAAGGAUGUGGAGAAGAACCUGAGUGGAUGUGAGAGGUUAUGCAGCCGCACAGAGUCACAGUCGCUGAUAAAAACGCUAAUGCUGUCCCAGAGCAGCACUCGACAUCUACCAGCUCUGAGAUUCAGGGCUCAGAAAGUGCAGAGAGUGACGGAAGUGACGAGAGUCACAGAAUAUAUUCCAUUAACGACGAGAUGCACACUUUGUUGAUGAAGAUUGUAUCCGAAACGCCUCAGUGUAGUCAUUUUACUGAGCUCCUGGAGUGGUUUGAAAUGCCAGAAUGCAUCGUCUUGGUCCUGGAGAGACCCAGCCCCUGUGUAGACCUCCAUGAAUUUGCUGGAAGUCAGGGAGGCUGUCUGACUGAAGAUCAGGCAUGAGACAUCAUGCUGCAGGUGAUUCGAGCGGUUCGGCACUGCUGUGACCGUAGAGUGCUACACCGUGACGUCAAAGCCCAGAAUCUGGAAGAAACCUUGAGAGGAACCAGGCUCAGAAGGGAACCCAUCCUGAUUUGGGUGACACUAAACAGAAAAUAAUGUAACUGUAGCUGAUUAAUGUCCUUUCUACAACAGCAAUCAAUGACCCAUGAGAAACUAUUAGGUCAGUGUAGUUUCUAAGGUCAUUAUAGACACUAAUUCUUUGCUGUCACGGGCUGACAGAUGAAAUGGCAUCUGUCACAAUCUGUGAUGGUGUGAAAGUCCCCAAGUGGCUCUGUCCAUGGCUGUCUCCUGGUCUACACAGAUCCAUCCACAGCAUCAGUGGGCACCAUCAAGCGGCGAGACUCUGACCAGGGGUAGGGCAGUGGUCACAAUGGAAACUGGCAAACACUGGAAGCUCAGGAGUGGAGUGUAUAGCUCGACAGAGAAGGUAGAGAGAGAAAGAGAAAGAUAUUAAGUUUCUGAUCAUGUGAUGCUUAAAGACAAUGUAGAAUUAUGUGUAAAGUGCAGGCAGGGACUCCGGCAAGACUAGCUAUGACAGCAUAACUAAAAGGGAGAGCCAGAAGGUCACAGACAUGAAGGCUUCCUGGGACAUAAAGCAUCCAACCACUUCACAGUCAGCAAACCUGAGCGACUUGCGAGGAUCCAACACAUCCCAGUACACCAAACACUCUAUACCCAUGAACCUUCCAGAUCUGCUCCUUUACCUAAGAAAACUACACAUUAAAAAAAUAUUAUGACAUUAUAAUGUAUAUAACAUUAAAUGACUAAAAAAAUGUGUCUUCAGCCUAGACUUAAACAUUGAGACUGUGUCUGAAUCCCGAAAAAUAAUAGUAAGGCUGUUCUAUAACUCUGGGGCUUUGAAAGAGAGAGCUCUGCCCCCUGCUGUAGCCUUUGCUACUUGAGGUACUACCAAGUAACCAGCACCCUUUGAUCGGAGUAGGCGUGGCGGAUCAUAAAAGACUAAAAGAUCGCUCAAAUACUGCGGCGCGAGACCAUUUAGUGCUUUAUAGGUUAGUAACAGUAUUUUAUAAUCAAUGCGAAAUUUGACUGGGAGCCAAUGUAGUGUGGCUAAAAUAGGAGUGAUGUGCUCAUAUAAUCGAUAAGGUCAUUCGUUGACAACGAUUUUCAUCAUCGAUUAUUAUCGAUUUAAUCGAUUCGUUGUUUCAGCCCUAUUAUCAUGGAUUCUCAUAAAAAUCCCAUAUUGCAACUGCAACAGCAAGUCAACAAGUGUCAGGCAAAGUGCUGAACAAAACUAAAUUUUCAAUAAAAGUGGUUGAAUAAAAUAAAAACAAAUAGUUUCGAAAUGUCCAUACAGGGAUAUCAUUAAUGCAUUGUGCAAAGGUCUCUCUCUCUCUCACACACACACACACUUCACUCACCCCAUUUCGUUGUCAAUGCAAAAAGACAGGGAUUCUCAUUGCCCCCUUGACAGUGAGGGAACUGCAGAAACCACAGAGACUCCUGGAUCCCUGGUAUAAAAAAGUCUUUGCAUUGCAUGCAUGUUAAUGCAGCACAGAAAUAAUUUUGCGUAUAAAUUGUGCUAUUCCAAGAUAGGUAUUGUUGGUCCUGGAAGGCCACUGUCCUACAGAGUUUAGCUCCAAACUUAAUCAAGCACACCUAAACACACUAUUCAAGGUCUUCAGGAGUACUAUAGACACUUAUGUUUUGUUUUGUUUUGUUUUUUCUUCUUCGUCUUAGGUUUGAAACUAAAAUCUACAGGACAGCGGCUCCCCAGGAUUGACUUUGCCUACCCC
Long non-coding RNA from Hemibagrus wyckioides, 3460 nucleotides. RefSeq lists it as uncharacterized. The transcript has 9 exons. The record is from RefSeq and is a predicted model, not a curated record. Lineage: Eukaryota; Metazoa; Chordata; Actinopteri; Siluriformes; Bagridae.